RNAcentral lists this ribosomal RNA (451 nucleotides) under uncultured eukaryote. RNAcentral describes it as "SSU rRNA". It matches the Rfam family "Eukaryotic small subunit ribosomal RNA", at positions 21 to 519 of the family's 1831-position model. The record is from RNAcentral.
UGUAGUCAUAUGCUUGUCUCAAAGAUUAAGCCAUGCAUGCCUAAGUAUAAAUAACUACACAGUGAAACUGCGAAUGGCUCAUUAAAACAGUUAUAGUUUAUUUGAUACAUUAAAUGGAUAACUGUAGAAAAACUAGAGCUAAUACAUGCCAAAACCGCAAGGUUGUAUUUAUUAGAUAUACCAGGUUGGUGAAUCAUAAUAACUUCGCAAAUCGCAGCUAUGCUGCGAUAAAUCAUUCAAGUUUCUGCCCUAUCAUGCUUUCGAUGGUAGUGUAUUGGACUACCAUGGCUCUCACGGGUAACGGGGAAUUAGGGUUCGAUUCCGGAGAAGGAGCCUGAGAAACGGCUACUACAUCUAAGGAAGGCAGCAGGCGCGUAAAUUACCCAAUCCUGACUCAGGGAGGUAGUGACAAGAUAUAACGACGCGCCUAAAAAGCGCGAUUGUAGUGAGG